AGAGGAAUUGCUUGAACCCAGAAGGUAGAGGUUGCAGUGUGCUGAGAUCACACCACUGCACUCCAGCCUGGGUGACAGAG
This 80-nucleotide small nuclear RNA is filed under the name Homo sapiens (human). RNAcentral describes it as "partial ncRNA". The record is from RNAcentral. Lineage: Eukaryota; Metazoa; Chordata; Mammalia; Primates; Hominidae.